Molecule: ribosomal RNA, 397 nt
Filed under: uncultured bacterium
Lineage: Bacteria
Description: partial 16S ribosomal RNA
Rfam family: Bacterial small subunit ribosomal RNA
Source: RNAcentral
AUACGUAGGGGGCGAGCGUUGUCCGGAAUGAUUGGGCGUAAAGGGCGCGUAGGCGGCCCGGUAAGUCUGGAGUGAAAGUCCUGUUUUUAAGAUGGGAAUUGCUUUGGAUACUGUCGGGCUUGAGUGCAGGAGAGGUAAGUGGAAUUCCCAGUGUAGCGGUGAAAUGCGUAGAGAUUGGGAGGAACACCAGUGGCGAAGGCGACUUACUGGACUGUAACUGACGCUGAGGCGCGAAAGUGUGGGGAGCAAACAGGAUUAGAUACCCUGGUAGUCCACACUGUAAACGAUGAAUACUAGGUGUAGGGGGUAUCGACCCCUUCUGUGCCGGAGUCAACACAAUAAGCAUUCCGCCUGGGGAGUACAGCCGCAAGGUUGAAACUCAAAUGAAUUGGCGGGG